This 82-nucleotide non-coding RNA is filed under the name Pantoea ananatis LMG 20103. The record is from RNAcentral. Lineage: Bacteria; Pseudomonadati; Pseudomonadota; Gammaproteobacteria; Enterobacterales; Erwiniaceae.
GUGUCAUCGACACGGUAGAACGCACGACAUUGCUCACAUUGCUUCCAGUAUUAUUUAGCCAGCCGGGUGCUGGCUUUUUUUU